UCCGAGUUGACCCCGGCAGUCUCCUACGAGUCCCCACCAUUACGUGCUGGCAACAUAGAAUAAGGGUUGCGCUCGUUGCGGGACUUAACCCAACAUCUCACGACACGAGCUGACGACAGCCAUGCAGCACCUGUGUACGACCCCGAAGGACACCGUAUCUCUACGGCUUUUCCGUACAUGUCAAGCCCAGGUAAGGUUCUUCGCGUUGCAUCGAAUUAAGCCACAUGCUCCGCCGCUUGUGCGGGCCCCCGUCAAUUCCUUUGAGUUUCAGCCUUGCGGCCGUACUCCCCAGGCGGGGCACUUACUGCGUUAGCGACGGCACUCAGAGGGUCGCUCCCCCAGGCACCUAGUGCCCAUCGUUUACGGCGUGGACUAC
This 376-nucleotide unclassified non-coding RNA is filed under the name uncultured Acidimicrobiia bacterium. Its description in RNAcentral is "contains 16S-23S intergenic spacer region". Lineage: Bacteria; Bacillati; Actinomycetota; Acidimicrobiia. The record is from RNAcentral.